Molecule: ribosomal RNA, 263 nt
Filed under: uncultured bacterium
Lineage: Bacteria
Description: partial 16S ribosomal RNA
Rfam family: Bacterial small subunit ribosomal RNA
Source: RNAcentral
GUCCUUGCCGUAAACGAUGUGGAUUAGGUGUUUGGGUGUCGAUCCCUCAAGCGCCGCAGCUAACGCAUUAAAUCCACCACCUGGGGAGUACGGUCGCAAGACUGAAACUCAAAGAAAUUGACGGGGACCCGCACAAGCGGUGGAGCAUGUGGUUUAAUUCGAGGCUACGCGAAGAACCUUACCCAGGUUUGAAAGCAGUUGCCAGUCCAUGAAAGUGGAUCUUCUCGCAAGAGACAAUUGUACAGGUGCUGCAUGGCUGUCGU